GACGAACGCUGGCGGCGUGCUUAACACAUGCAAGUCGAGCGGUAAGGCCCUUUCGGGGGUACACGAGCGGCGAACGGGUGAGUAACACGUGGGUGACCUGCCCUCAGCUCUGGGAUAAGCCUGGGAAACCGGGUCUAAUACUGGAUAUGACUCCAUGACGCAUGUUGUGGGGUGGAAAGCCUUGUGCGGCUGAGGAUGGGCCCCGCGGCCUAUCAGCUUGUUGGUGGGGUGANGGCCUACCAAGGCGACGACGGGUAGCCGGCCUGAGAGGGCGACCGGCCACACUGGGACUGAGACACGGCCCAGACUCCUACGGGAGGCAGCAGUGGGGAAUCUUGCGCAAUGGGCGAAAGCCUGACGCAGCGACGCCGCGUGA
This 376-nucleotide ribosomal RNA is filed under the name uncultured bacterium. RNAcentral describes it as "bacterial SSU rRNA". It matches the Rfam family "Bacterial small subunit ribosomal RNA", at positions 28 to 404 of the family's 1533-position model. The record is from RNAcentral.